AUUGAACGCUGGCGGCAUGCUUUACACAUGCAAGUCGAACGGAAGCGCGGGCUUCGGCCUGGCGGCGAGUGGCGCAAGGGUGUGUAAUGCAUCGGAACGUGCCCCGUUGUGGGGGAUAGCACGGCGAAAGCAGGAUUAAUACUGCCUACGACGUGAGGGUGAAAGCGGGGGACGGAAAGACCUCGCGCGAUUGUAGCGGCCGAUGUCGGAUUAGCUAGUUGGUGGGGUAAAGGGUUACCAAGGCGACGAUCCGUAGCUGGUCGGAGAGGACGACCAGCCACAUGAGGACGGGGACACGGCCCAGGCGCCUGCGAGAGGCAGCAGAGGGGUAUGUGGGACAAUGGUGGCAACCCUGAUCCAGCCAUGCGGCGUGCGAGAAGAAGGCCUUCGGGUUGGGAUCAGCUUUUGUGCGUGAAGAAACGCUCUGGGCUAAGACCCCGGGUGGAUGACGGUACCGGAAGAAUAAGCACCGGCUAACUACGUG
RNAcentral lists this ribosomal RNA (484 nucleotides) under uncultured bacterium. RNAcentral's name for it is "partial 16S ribosomal RNA". It matches the Rfam family "Bacterial small subunit ribosomal RNA", at positions 28 to 507 of the family's 1533-position model. The record is from RNAcentral.